This 2107-nucleotide long non-coding RNA is filed under the name Capsicum annuum. RNAcentral describes it as "long non-coding RNA (CANN_LNC021839)". The record is from RNAcentral. Lineage: Eukaryota; Viridiplantae; Streptophyta; Magnoliopsida; Solanales; Solanaceae.
CUCCCCCUUAAAGUUAUUUUUUGAAAGCUAUCCCAAACUCGUUGUAGAAGAACUCAAACGAAACUUUGAACCAUGCCUUAGUGAAGCUCUUAACAUUUUUUUCUGAACUCCGCUUUCUCCUUUCAAUGUUGAAGAUUUUCCGUCAUUGAUUUGUCCUUGUCGUGUUUUAUGAUGUUGAGUUUUCGAGCUCCCCCUUUCUCCGAACUCCUCCACAACUUCAUUAUCUGGAGACACACAUGUGAUGGAAAAGUUUAGAGCUCUAGCAUUCAAGAUUUUAGAACUUACUCUUUCUGAAGCAACUUCAUAAUACAAGGACAUUUCAUCUGUAUCCUCCUCCUUAUUUGAUUCGAUGAUGAUCUGAUCAUUAAUUUUCUGUAAAUCCUUAGCACCAUAAUAGGAUCCACCACUAGAUUCUGUUUCUAGCUCUUCAAUCAUAUUGUAUAUCUCUCCAUAUGAAAUUAGGUCUUUAAUUUCAACGUCUUCAUUUAUUUGAUCUUUAGCUUCUUCAUCAACUUUCAAUAUUUGCUCUGAGCUAGUGAUUGACCUUGAUACGAUGGAUGACUGGUUCGAGACUUCAGCUUCCACUACAUCUCCCUUAAUGCUUUCUCCGAUAAAGUCAUCACUGGCAUAUUAAUUUUCAGAUACUAUCUUCUCAUAAUCUACUUCAAUAUCUUUCACAUUCAGACUCUUAUAGCCAAUUUAUGGAUCUACUUCUUUAAUUUCCUCUAUAGCAGCUACCACAUCUCCAGUGGCAUAUUAAUUUUCAGAUACUAUCUUCUCAGAAUCUACUUCAAUAUCUUUCACAUUCAGACUCUUAUAGCCAAUUUAUGGAUCUACUUCUUUAAUUUCCUCUAUAGCAGCUACCACAUCUCCAGUCUGAAUGUCUUCAGUAUUCUCUUGCUUCUUAUCAGUGUCUUCCUUCUCCACAUGAUGAAUUGUUCAGUAUUCUCUUGCUUCUUAUCAGUGUCUUCCUUCUCCACAUGAUGAAUUGUAUUAUAUCCGACCUAAUCUCUUUUAAAAUUUAUGAAAGCCAAGACAUCUAUUGCUUGACUCUCAAUUGUUAAGCAUCUUCUCCAAUAUUCUUCUUCUUCAACAACUUUUUCAGUUUGAACCAUGUUGCUUUCUGUGGCUCGAAAAUAUCUUCUUAUAUGUCCUACUUUGCCACAUCGAUAAUAUUUGAGAUGUUUUUUACUAUAAUAAUUGUUAAAAAACUUUUCCUUUUUUCCAGGCAAGCUUGAACCACGUGAUAAUUGAGUGUGAGGCAUAACUCUUGCUUUUCCUUUAACGCCCCUCUUAUCAACUACAAAAGCAUUUCCAUUUCUUUCUUUGACAAAUUCACCAGCCAAUUGUUUGGCUAAUACUCCGGUGACGGCAACAAAUUCUCAAAUUCCUCCAAGGAUGGUUGUUGAGUCCAUCCUUGAAUCGACGUCACAAAGGAAAUAUAUUCUGGCUUCAAUAUCUGUAGUUGAGCUUCAUUCUACUUGUUGAAUAACUAAUCGAGCGUCCUCCAUAUAUCGAAUAAACUGGAGGAGAUGGUUCUCUUCAAGGUGAGUUCCGCCUUCGCAUUAGUCUGCUUCCACUUCUUAUAUGCACCAUCAUUUUUCGGGUCAUCGACAGGAAGGCUUGUGUUACUUUUAUUGAUAAUAUUCCACAAGUCCUCACCCCUAAGGUAUGUUUUCAUACAUGUAUUCCAUAUCUUAUAAUUGGACUAAUUCAACAACUCCAUUCCUAAUCCAUUAGGAUGACCGCUCAAAUUCAUUCGCACAAACCAGUUGAAUUAAUCACAAACCCGAUCUUGAAAUAAACACAAGCCAAUCUAUGACUUUGGCUCUUAUACUAUAUAGAGAAUAGCAGAAGAAAGGCAUAUUUAAGAAACCUUCUGCUAAGGCAUAUUUAAGAAACCUUCUGCUAACCCAAAAUCGUUAACUAAGAUCGAAAGAUUCAACUAAGAAAAGAAAGUUAGAAAUGUGAAGAAAAAUAUUAAAAGGGAGAACUUAGAUUUGAAAGAAGACUACUUUAAUAUGCUUUGUAUUGUAUUGGAUUUAUUUUUGAAUAGUGUCAAACGUUCAAGGCCAUCCCUAUUUAUACUUGUUCAUGGAUGGUUCUA